This 73-nucleotide transfer RNA is filed under the name Paramuricea clavata. It matches the Rfam family "tRNA". Rfam says of the family: Transfer RNA (tRNA) molecules are approximately 80 nucleotides in length. Their secondary structure includes four short double-helical elements and three loops (D, anti-codon, and T loops). Lineage: Eukaryota; Metazoa; Cnidaria; Anthozoa; Malacalcyonacea; Plexauridae. The record is from Rfam by way of RNAcentral.
GACCGCGUAGCUCAGUUGGCAGAGCAUUGGGCUAGUAUUCCAAAGGUCGUAGGUUCGAUUCCCACUCUGGCCA